GGGGUCAUGACUCAAUAGGUAGAGUGCUUGCUUAGCAAGCAUGGAGCAUGAGUUCAAAUCCUAGUACCACCC
RNAcentral lists this transfer RNA (72 nucleotides) under Dipodomys ordii (Ord's kangaroo rat). It matches the Rfam family "tRNA". Rfam says of the family: Transfer RNA (tRNA) molecules are approximately 80 nucleotides in length. Lineage: Eukaryota; Metazoa; Chordata; Mammalia; Rodentia; Heteromyidae. The record is from Rfam by way of RNAcentral.